CACACGGGAUUUCAGCAAGCUUUUCCAUUCCGUCUGUUGGUCCUCUUGAGCGUGGGCUUGUGGGUGAGCUGCAUCUUUGCAACGUCACAUCUCGUGUGGAAGGUCUCUAGAUAUGCUGCUGAUAGACUCUACUUCUGUGAGAUCAACUCGGUCUAUUGUUGGUACUCUCUUUAUCUGCUGGUUUAUCUCAGCUUCAACUCUGCAGCUGAAUGCUGUUGAAAUUGCUCCUGAAAUAGAGGAAGCAAACAAUGAGAAGUGUUCCUGUAGUGGAGUUUGUAUUGGGCUACCAGGACGCGACGGUAAGUGUGCUGACUACAAUCACCUAGAAUAUGUCACAUAAUCUUAAAUCUUUCUGAUAUUAUGUGCUAGGACGAGAUGGGCAACCUGGUCUUAAUGGGCGUGACGGUGCACCCGGACCAUCUGGACCUCCAGGAAGUGGAAACUCCAGUGUAGCAGGACCGAAAGGUGAAAAGGGAGAAACUGGAAAGAUGGGGAUACAGGGCCAGAAAGGCGAGUAG
Corticium candelabrum is the source of this 518-nucleotide long non-coding RNA. RefSeq lists it as uncharacterized. The transcript is spliced from 7 exons. Lineage: Eukaryota; Metazoa; Porifera; Homoscleromorpha; Homosclerophorida; Plakinidae. The record is from RefSeq and is a predicted model, not a curated record.